UUGCUCUUGUUUAGGCAGCACAUAUACUAAUAUUGGAAAAAUACAGAGAAGAUUAGCAUAACCCCUGUGCAAGAAUGACACACAAAUUCAUUAAGCAUUCCAUAUUUUC
Small nuclear RNA from Rattus rattus (black rat), 109 nucleotides. Lineage: Eukaryota; Metazoa; Chordata; Mammalia; Rodentia; Muridae. The record is from RefSeq and is a predicted model, not a curated record.